Molecule: long non-coding RNA, 806 nt
Organism: Bactrocera tryoni
Lineage: Eukaryota; Metazoa; Arthropoda; Insecta; Diptera; Tephritidae
Exons: 2
Source: RefSeq, a predicted model, not a curated record
UAUUAUAACUAAGCUCACUUGGAUUAUUAUGAUUUUUUUUUUGGGAUAUCUGUUUUACAAAUAACCACUGUGAUCUUAAAACUUGAGUACCUUCACUGCUAUAGAAACUUAAAAGAAGUUUUCAGCUACAGCGUUUAAGUUGAACUGGCACACAAUUUUUUUAAAUUUUUUAUAAGUUGAAUUUGAUUUUUAAACUAUUUGAGCGUUUAAUAUUCUUUUUUUAAUCCACAGUAUAAAAUUCAACUUUCACCAAAUUAAUUGAAUUUAAAUACAAUAAAUAUUCACAUAUAUACGUCGAUUCCAAACACUUGUAAAUUUUUAUUUAUUUUUUCACAAUUGAGUAUAAUAUUACAACUUAAAUUAAAAUCUUCCCCUCUUCAUUUACAGGAUUUUCAGAAUAUUCACUUCCACAUUGCCAAGUCAACACGCGCGCCGAAUGGUGAUGUAUAGCUGUAUUUUGUUUUUUUUUUUUUUGUACUUGAAUCGUAAUCACUUCAGCAAGUUGUUAAUUUAUUUGAUAUAAAUUUUACCGUUAAACUAGUCUUUGCACACCCGCUUAGUGAGACAAACGAAAAGAAACUAAAUAAUGCACAGUUAUGCUGAGGACUAGGUGCGUUAAAGAGUCCUUUUGGGACGCACAUAAUUUCCACAUAUCCUUUAGGACACAGAGCGCUUGAGUAGCAACAACGAAGGGAAAGUUUACAGGUGUGAGUGUGGAACGAGAUAAAGGGAUUAUACUCAACAUUGGCUUUAUAAAGAGAAUGGUCCUCAAAUAUUUGCACCUUUUACCAUGGGAACCCAACAAA